AUUACCCAAUCCCGACACGGGGGAGGUAGUGACAAUAAAUAACGAUACAGGGCCCUUUCGGGUCUUGUAAUUGGAAUGAGUACAAUGUAAAUACCUUAACGAGGAACAAUUGGAGGGCAAGUCUGGUGCCAGCAGCCGCGGUAAUUCCAGCUCCAAAAGCGUAUAUUAAAGUUGUUGCAGUUAAAAAGCUCGUAGUUGAACCUUGGGCUUGGUUAGCCGGUCCACCUUUUUGGUGUGUACUGGACCUAACCGAGCCUUUCCUUCUGGCUAACCUUCAUCCUUCUGGGUGUUGGCGAACCAGGACUUUUACUUUGAAAAAAUUAGAGUGUUCAAAGCAGGCCUUUGCUCGAAUAUAUUAAGCAUGGAAUAAUAGAAUAGGACGUUAUGGUUCUAUUUUGUUGGUUUCUAGGACCAUCGUAAUGAUUAAUAGGGACGGUCGGGGGUAUCAGUAUUCAGUUGUCAGAGGUGAAAUUCUUGGAUUUACUGAAGACUAACUACUGCGAAAGCUUUACCAAGGGCGUUUUCA
Molecule: ribosomal RNA, 526 nt
Filed under: Suzukiozyma palmioleophila
Lineage: Eukaryota; Fungi; Ascomycota; Pichiomycetes; Serinales; Debaryomycetaceae
Description: SSU rRNA
Rfam family: Eukaryotic small subunit ribosomal RNA
Source: RNAcentral